Molecule: ribosomal RNA, 1343 nt
Filed under: uncultured bacterium
Lineage: Bacteria
Description: 16S ribosomal RNA
Rfam family: Bacterial small subunit ribosomal RNA
Source: RNAcentral
GACGAACGCUUGCGGCGUGCUUAACACAUGCAAGUCGAACGGAAAGGCCCUGCUUUUGUGGGGUGCUCGAGUGGCGAACGGGUGAGUAACACGUGAGUAACCUGCCCUUGACUUUGGGAUAACUUCAGGAAACUGGGGCUAAUACCGGAUAGGAGCUCCUGCUGCAUGGUGGGGGUUGGAAAGUUUCGGCGGUUGGGGAUGGACUCGCGGCUUAUCAGCUUGUUGGUGGGGUAGUGGCUUACCAAGGCUUUGACGGGUAGCCGGCCUGAGAGGGUGACCGGCCACAUUGGGACUGAGAUACGGCCCAGACUCCUACGGGAGGCAGCAGUGGGGAAUAUUGCACAAUGGGCGGAAGCCUGAUGCAGCAACGCCGCGUGCGGGAUGACGGCCUUCGGGUUGUAAACCGCUUUCGCCUGUGACGAAGCGUGAGUGACGGUAAUGGGUAAAGAAGCACCGGCUAACUACGUGCCAGCAGCCGCGGUGAUACGUAGGGUGCGAGCGUUGUCCGGAUUUAUUGGGCGUAAAGGGCUCGUAGGUGGUUGAUCGCGUCGGAAGUGUAAUCUUGGGGCUUAACCCUGAGCGUGCCUUCGAUACGGGUUGACUUGAGGAAGGUAGGGGAGAAUGGAAUUCCUGGUGGAGCGGUGGAAUGCGCAGAUAUCAGGAGGAACACCAGUGGCGAAGGCGGUUCUCUGGGCCUUUCCUGACGCUGAGGAGCGAAAGCGUGGGGAGCGAACAGGCUUAGAUACCCUGGUAGUCCACGCUGUAAACGGUGGGUACUAGGUGUGGGGUCCAUUCCACGGGUUCCGUGCCGUAGCUAACGCUUUAAGUACCCCGCCUGGGGAGUACGGCCGCAAGGCUAAAACUCAAAGGAAUUGACGGGGCCCCGCACAAGCGGCGGAGCAUGCGGAUUAAUUCGAUGCAACGCGUAGAACCUUACCUGGGUUUGACAUGGAUCGGGAGCGCUCAGAGAUGGGUGUGCCUCUUUUGGGGUCGGUUCACAGGUGGUGCAUGGCUGUCGUCAGCUCGUGUCGUGAGAUGUUGGGUUAAGUCCCGCAACGAGCGCAACCCUUGUUCACUGUUGCCAGCACGUUAUGGUGGGGACUCAGUGGAGACCGCCGGGGUCAACUCGGAGGAAGGUGGGGAUGACGUCAAGUCAUCAUGCCCCUUAUGUCCAGGGCUUCACGCAUGCUACAAUGGCUGGUACAGAGAGUGGCGAGCCUGUGAGGGUGAGCGAAUCUCGGAAAGCCGGUCUCAGUUCGGAUUGGGGUCUGCAACUCGACCUCAUGAAGUCGGAGUCGCUAGUAAUCGCAGAUCAGCAACGCUGCGGUGAAUACGUUCCCGGG